Tupaia belangeri chinensis (Chinese tree shrew) is the source of this 1839-nucleotide long non-coding RNA. RefSeq lists it as uncharacterized. The transcript is spliced from 2 exons. Lineage: Eukaryota; Metazoa; Chordata; Mammalia; Scandentia; Tupaiidae. The record is from RefSeq and is a predicted model, not a curated record.
UGAACCACGUUCGGCCACAUGGGAGCCCAAGGCCCUUAACCACCACACCACCUGCCAGCGCCAUGGCAGCAGUCUGCUUGGCCCACAUGAUGAACAUUUUCAGCACAAUACAAGCGUCGUUUUCUGACCCUGACGGGCUCCUCCUCGCUGUGUGUCAUUAUCUUACCCUCCCAGGCGUCUGAGAGGUGCCAUACUUUCCCAUUACGGAUGGUACUGUGUAGGCGGGGGAGGGUAACGAUGGCAGGUACCCAACGGCAUGUCAUCCAACUUUCCAUUUUAAGACGUACUGAAUUCUCUAAGUAGGUUCUUUAAAUCCUGUAAUGAGGAUGUUUAAGCCAACCCGUUACCUGUUAAAUCACCAUAAUGUGGCUACAGUAGCCUUUCCAAAGUGGGCUGCCUUGCAGCGCUCUGUGUUCACGUUGUCACAGCCAAGAGCGCACCCUGGCUCCUAAGACGACAACAGGCUACACCCGCCAGGUCUGCGACAGGUCUGCCGGAUGACGAAACUGCCCGACUCUGCAUUUCACAGUAAAGCACCCCGUCUUCAAGCAAUACGUGACUGUAGAUUAAUGAACAAAGAAAGGCUCUACAUCCAAUUCUAAGAUCUAUGAAGAGCGUAAUCUACCUGCGGAAACCAGUAAGUGGCACGCUCUGUCAUGGAGAAGAGAAAAAAGACAAGCCUACGGGACAUGGUCUUGGUUGUUAUUUUAAAAUACCUUCCCACAAUAUGGGUACAGCAUGAGUAACAAUAAAUAAAUACAUGGCUUUCAGUUUAUUAAAGAAAUGGAGAGUUCAAGCGCCAGCCUGGGCACUCAGCGCUGUGACCCUGAGCAAGGCCACACCACCUACAUCAUAGGAAAGUCUUAAUGGAAGUGCACGGCCAGGCGGUGGCGAUGCACCUGGACCCACGAGGGAGAGGGCCUGGGCUUAUGUCCCUGGGCUCCCCUGGGCUCCGGGCUGGCUGGAGGUGAAGACCCUGCUCCCCCCCACUGGGGGUGACAGCCUCUCGUGGAAUAAAAAGAUGACGACCAAACUGGAAAGCGCGCCUCUGCAGAACAGGAGCCCCCGUCCCCACGCCAUUUUAGACUAUGGAAAUGGUGCUGCACAGAGACCGAAUUCGCGUAAUUUUCUUAUUCGAGUUCAAAAUGGGUCGUAAAGCAGCAGAGACGACUCAGCAGCAGCAGCUCCUCUGGCCCGGGAACCGCUAACAGACCUAAGGUGCACGGGUGGUUCGAGAAGUUCUGCAAAGGAGACGAGAGCCUUGAAAACACACAGUGUGGUGGCGGGCCACUGGAGGUGGACCAUGACCAACCUCGGGGAGCAGUCACCGAAGCUGAGCCUCUCAGAACUACACGAGAAGUUGCCAGAGGACUCGAUGUCAACCGUCGCAUGGUUGUGGGGCAGUUGAAGGGAACUGGUAAGGUGAAAGAGCUCCUAAGGGGGUGCCUCAUGGACUGACCAAAGAUAAAAACCAUCAGCGCUCUGAAGUGGCAUCCUUUCAUUCCACACAACCCACUUCUCGACUGGACCAGUUUUAUACGACCAGCAACGACCAGCUCAGCGGUGGGCCCAGAGGGACCCCAAAGCACUUCCCAAAGCUCAACUUGAACAACGAAGAGGUCACGGGCGCAGCUGGCGGGCCCGAUCCACCAUGGCUUUCUGAAUCCUGGCGAAACCAUUGCAUCGAUGAGAUGCCCCAACGCCAGGCCUGCAGCCGGCACUGGUCAGCUCUCCGUGACAACGCGUGACCUCACGGCACACAGCCAGUGCUUCUGAAGCUGAACGAACAGCGCCACCGAGUCUUGCCUCGUCCGCCAUAUUCCCCCGGCCUCUCGCCAA